CAUGCUAGACGUAGUUUGAUCCUGGCUACAGAACGAACGCUGGCGGCGCGCCUAACACAUGCAAGUCGAACGAGAAUCCGGGGCAACCCGGUAGUAAAGUGGCAAACGGGUGAGGAAUACAUGGGUAACCUACCCUUGAGAAGGGAAUAACCCGCCGAAAGGUGAGCUAAUACCCUAUACGCUAUCUUUUUUUCGAAAAGGAUAGGAAAGCCGGGUCGAGGACCUGGUACUCAAGGAGGGGCUCAUGUCCUAUCAGCUUGUUGGUGGGGUAACGGCCUACCAAGGCUACGACGGGUAGCUGGUCUGAGAGGAUGAUCAGCCACACUGGCACUGAGGUACGGGCCGGACUCCUACGGGAGGCAGCAGUGAGGAAUAUUGCGCAAUGGGCGAAGGCCUGACGCAGCGACGCCGCGUGGGGGAUGAAGGUCUUCGGAUUGUAAACCCCUUUCGGGAGGGAAGAUGGAGCGAGCAAUCGUUCGGACGGUACCUCCAGAAGCAGCCACGGCCAACUUCGUG
Molecule: ribosomal RNA, 516 nt
Filed under: uncultured bacterium
Lineage: Bacteria
Description: bacterial SSU rRNA
Rfam family: Bacterial small subunit ribosomal RNA
Source: RNAcentral